CCUACGGGAGGCAGCAGUGGGGAAUUUUGGACAAUGGGGGCAACCCUGAUCCAGCAAUGCCGCGUGAGUGAAGAAGGCCUUCGGGUUGUAAAGCUCUUUUGUCAGGGAAGAAACGGCGGUUUCUAAUACAGAUCGCUAAUGACGGUACCUGAAGAAUAAGCACCGGCUAACUACGUGCCAGCAGCCGCGGUAAUACGUAGGGUGCAAGCGUUAAUCGGAAUUACUGGGCGUAAAGCGUGCGCAGGCGGUUAUAUAAGUCAGAUGUGAAAUCCCCGGGCUCAACCUGGGAACUGCAUUUGAGACUGUAUGGCUAGAGUGUGUCAGAGGGGGGUAGAAUUCCACGUGUAGCAGUGAAAUGCGUAGAUAUGUGGAGGAAUACCGAUGGCGAAGGCAGCCCCCUGGGAUAACACUGACGCUCAUGCACGAAAGCGUGGGGAGCAAACAGGAUUAGAUACCCUGGUAGUCCACGCCCUAAACGAUGUCUACUAGUUGUCGGGUCUUAAUUGACUUGGUAACGCAGCUAACGCGUGAAGUAGACCGCCUGGGGAUACGGUCGCAAGAUUAAAACUUAAGAUAGACGCGNGNGAGAGACGACGACGACGACGAGGAGGAGGAGG
RNAcentral lists this ribosomal RNA (617 nucleotides) under uncultured bacterium. Its description in RNAcentral is "bacterial SSU rRNA". It matches the Rfam family "Bacterial small subunit ribosomal RNA", at positions 338 to 944 of the family's 1533-position model. The record is from RNAcentral.